RNAcentral lists this ribosomal RNA (253 nucleotides) under uncultured bacterium. Its description in RNAcentral is "partial 16S ribosomal RNA". It matches the Rfam family "Bacterial small subunit ribosomal RNA", at positions 524 to 776 of the family's 1533-position model. The record is from RNAcentral.
UACGUAGGGUGCAAGCGUUGUCCGGAAUUAUUGGGCGUAAAGAGCUCGUAGGCGGUCUGUCGCGUCUGCUGUGAAAACUCGGGGCUUAACCCCGGGCCUGCAGUGGGUACGGGCAGACUAGAGUGCGGUAGGGGAGACUGGAAUUCCUGGUGUAGCGGUGAAAUGCGUAGAUAUCAAGAGGAACACCUGCGGCGAAGGCGGGUUGCUGGGCCGACACUGACGCUGAGGCGCGAAAGCCAGGGGAGCGAACGGG